UAGGAAUUUCCUAGUGUAUUCUUGAAUUUG
This 30-nucleotide non-coding RNA is filed under the name Mus musculus (house mouse). Lineage: Eukaryota; Metazoa; Chordata; Mammalia; Rodentia; Muridae. The record is from RNAcentral.